CCUACGGGACGCUGCAGUGGGGAAUAUUGCACAAUGGGGGAAACCUUGAUGCAGCGACGCCGCGUGAGCGAGGAAGUAUUUCUGUAUGUACAGCUCUAUCAGCAGGGACGAAAACCGCCGGUACCUGACUCCCAAGCCCCGGCUAACUACGUGCCAGCAGCCGCGGUAAUACGUAGGGGGCAAGCGUUAUCCGGAUUUACUGGGGGUAAAGGGAUCGUAGACAGAAAGGCAAGCCAGAAGUGAAAGGGCAGGGCUCAACCCUGUACAUGCUUUUGGAACUGGGGGGCUAGAGUGCAGGAGAGGAAAGUGGAAUUCCUAGUGUAGCGGUGAAAUGCGUAGAUAUUAGGAGGAACACCAGUGGCGAAGGCGGCUUACUGGACUGUAACUGACGUUGAGGCUCGAAAGCGUGGGGAGCAAACAGGAUUAGAUACCCGUGUAGUC
This 441-nucleotide ribosomal RNA is filed under the name uncultured bacterium. RNAcentral's name for it is "partial 16S ribosomal RNA". It matches the Rfam family "Bacterial small subunit ribosomal RNA", at positions 338 to 795 of the family's 1533-position model. The record is from RNAcentral.